GACGAACGCUGGCGGCGUGCUUAACACAUGCAAGUCGAACGGAAAGGCCUAGCUUGCUAGGUACUCGAGUGGCGAACGGGUGAGUAACACGUGGGUGAUCUGCCCCUGACUUUGGGAUAAGCCUGGGAAACUGGGUCUAAUACCGAAUAUGACCUUCUCCUGCAUGGGGGUUGGUGGAAAGCUUUUGCGGUUGGGGAUGGGCCCGCGGCCUAUCAGUUUGUUGGUGGGGUAAUGGCCUACCAAGGCGACGACGGGUAGCCGGCCUGAGAGGGAGAUCGGCCACACUGGGACUGAGACACGGCCCAGACUCCUACGGGAGGCAGCAGUGGGGAAUAUUGCACAAUGGGCGCAAGCCUGAUGCAGCGACGCCGCGUGGGGGAUGACGGCCUUCGGGUUGUAAACCUCUUUCGACAGGGACGAAGCUUUCGGGUGACGGUACCUGUAGAAGAAGCACCGGCCAACUACGUGCCAGCCGCCGCAGUAACAC
This 487-nucleotide ribosomal RNA is filed under the name uncultured bacterium. Its description in RNAcentral is "bacterial SSU rRNA". It matches the Rfam family "Bacterial small subunit ribosomal RNA", at positions 28 to 526 of the family's 1533-position model. The record is from RNAcentral.